Molecule: ribosomal RNA, 943 nt
Filed under: uncultured crenarchaeote
Lineage: Archaea; Thermoproteati; Thermoproteota
Description: bacterial SSU rRNA
Rfam family: Archaeal small subunit ribosomal RNA
Source: RNAcentral
UUCCGGUUGAUCCUGCCGGACCCGACUGCUAUCGGAUUGAGAUUUAGCCAUGCGAGUCGAACGUCCCCCUGUUGCGGGGGGCGUGGCGUACGGCUCAGUAACACGUAGUCAACCUGCCCUGGAGACAUGGACAACCCCGGGAAACUGGGAUUAAUCCGUGAUAGGUCAUCUCAUCUGGAAGGAGAGAUGGCUUAAAGGGGUACGCGGGCUUCUUCUGCGUAUUCGCUCCAGGAUGGGACUGCGACCGAUCAGGCUGUUGGCGGGGUAAUGGCCCACCAAACCUGUAACCGGUACGGGCCUUGAGAGAGGUGGCCCGGAGAUGGACACUGAGAGAAGGGUCCAGGUCCUACGGGGCGCAGCAGGCGCGAAACCUUCGCAAUGCGCGAAAGCGUGACGAGGUUAAUCCGAGUGGCCCCCGCUGAGGGGGUCUUUUGUCAGCUGUAAAUAGGCAGGCGAAUAAGGGGAGGGCAAGCCUGGUGUCAGCCGCCGCGGUAAUACCAGCUCCUCGAGUGGUCGGGGCGAUUAUUGGGCCUAAAGCAUCCGUAGCCGGUUCCGUAGGUCCUCUGUUAAAUCCAACCGCUCAACGGUUGACCUGCAGAGGAUACCGCGGGACUAGGAGGCGGGAGAGGCGGACGGUACUCCGCGUGUAGGGGUAAAAUCCUUUGAUCCGCGGAAGACCACCAGUGGCGAAGGCGGUCCGCCAGAACGCGCUCGACGGUGAGGGAUGAAAGCUGGGGGAGCGAACCGGAUUAGAUACCCGGGUAGUCCCAGCCGUAAACGAUGCUAGCUAGAUGAUUCAUUCGCAAGUCGCGAAUGAAGUGUCGCAGGGAAGCCGUUAAGCUAGCCGCCUGGGGAGUACGGUCGCAAGACUGAAACUUAAAGGAAUUGGCGGGGGAGCACCACAAGGGGUGAAGCCUGCGGUUCAAUUGGAGUCAACGCCGGG